CCCAUUUUGGCUGUAGUGUUUCCAAGCAUGUGGAAGAGAGUGCGUUCUUUGGUAUUUUUCUCCGGGACCUUUUGAAGUGCCAACAGAAGAAGAUCAUCAAAGUUAUCCUCCGAUCUGUUAUACUCCGAUCUGUUAUCCCGAUCUGCUAUCCUCUGAUCUGUUAUCCUGUUACGACCCGAUCUUCCCCUUCUUUUCCUCCAGCAGUAUUGACCGUUCAUUGGCCACGACGUUUCAGUAUUCAAUUGGUCACUGUCACAACGCAGUGUGCUGGACCGAUGUGGCCAGUCCAGUGGGAAUCAGGGUCAGAUCAAUAUAUCUGAAUCCUCUUAGUUUGUGUCAAGCAGACAAAUGAUGUUGGAGAAGUGCGAGUUUGGAGACGUAUUGAUGCCUGUUUUUUUUCCCACUCUGUGUGUCCUCAAGGUGGUAUGCACACAUGCUCACACACGCACACACACAAACACAUUCACAAACACACACACACUCAGAACGAGGGACAGAAUGAGGGACAGAACGAGGUAUAGAACACAAUCCUUCUUUGUAUUUGUAUCAAUUAAUAUCUAGGAGGAGAGGAGGAUAUUAUCUAGGAGGAGGAACAUAUCUAGGAGGAGGAUAAUAUCUAGGAGGAGGAAAAUAUCUAGGAGGAGAGGAGGAAAAUAUCUAGGAGGAGGAUAAUAUCUAGGAGGAGAGGAGCAUAAUAUCCAGGAGGAGGAGAGGAUAAUAUCUAGGAAGAUAAUAUCUAGGAGGAGAGGAUAAUAUCUAGGAGGAGAGGAGGAUAAUAUCUUGAAGGAGGAUAAUAUCUUGAAGGGAGA
RNAcentral lists this long non-coding RNA (809 nucleotides) under Salmo salar (Atlantic salmon). Its description in RNAcentral is "lncRNA (ENSSSAG00000086956.1)". The record is from RNAcentral. Lineage: Eukaryota; Metazoa; Chordata; Actinopteri; Salmoniformes; Salmonidae.